ACAACGUUGGGGAAACUCAAGCUAAUACCGCAUACGCCCGUACGGGGAAAGCCGGGGACCUUCGGGCCUCGCGCUAUUGGAUGAGCCUGCGUCGGAUUAGCUAGUUGGUGGGGUAAAGCCCACCAAGGCGACGAUCCGUAGCUGGUCUGAGAGGAUGAUCAGCCACACUGGGACUGAGACACCGGCCCAGACUCCUACGGGAGGCAGCAGUGGGAAUAUUGGACAUGGGGGCAACCCUGAUCCAGCCAUGCCGCGUGUGUGAAGAAGGCCUUCGGGUUGUAAAGCACUUUCAGUAGGGAAGAAAAGCCUAAGGUUAAUACCCUUGGGUCUUGACGGUACCUACACAAGAAGCACCGGCUAAUUCCGUG
RNAcentral lists this ribosomal RNA (368 nucleotides) under uncultured bacterium. Its description in RNAcentral is "bacterial SSU rRNA". It matches the Rfam family "Bacterial small subunit ribosomal RNA", at positions 143 to 507 of the family's 1533-position model. The record is from RNAcentral.